This 253-nucleotide ribosomal RNA is filed under the name uncultured bacterium. RNAcentral's name for it is "partial 16S ribosomal RNA". It matches the Rfam family "Bacterial small subunit ribosomal RNA", at positions 524 to 776 of the family's 1533-position model. The record is from RNAcentral.
UACAGAGGUCUCAAGCGUUGUUCGGAUUCAUUGGGCGUAAAGGGUGCGUAGGCGGCGCGGUAAGUCGGGUGUGAAAUCUCGGAGCUUAACCCGGAAACUGCAUUGAAUACUAUUCUGCUCGAGGUUUGGAGGGGGGACUGGAAUUCUCGGUGUAGCAGUGAAAUGCGUAGAUAUCGAGAGGAACACCAGUGGCGAAGGCGAGUCCCUGGACAACACCUGACACUGAGGCACGAAAGCUAGGGGAGCAAACAGG